RNAcentral lists this ribosomal RNA (389 nucleotides) under Triticum dicoccoides. Its description in RNAcentral is "rRNA LSU_rRNA_eukarya". It matches the Rfam family "Bacterial large subunit ribosomal RNA", at positions 2098 to 2468 of the family's 2925-position model. Lineage: Eukaryota; Viridiplantae; Streptophyta; Magnoliopsida; Poales; Poaceae. The record is from RNAcentral.
GCUUUACUGUUCCCUGGGACUGGCUUUGGGCCUUUCCUGCACAGCUUAGGUGGAAGGUGAAUAAGGCCCCUUUCCAGGGGGGUGGGCGAGCCAUCAGUGAGAUACCACUCUGGAAGAGCUCGGAUUCUAACCUUGUGUUAGACCCGUGGGCCAAGGGACAGUCUCAGGUAAACAGUUUCUAUGGGGUGUAGGCCUCCCAAAAGGUAAUGUAGGCAUGCAAAGGUUUCCUCGGGCCAGACGGACAUUGGUCCUCGAAUGCAAAGGCAGAAGGGAGCUUGACUGCAAGACUCACCCGUCGAGCAGAGACGAAAGUCGGCCUUAGUGAUCUGACAGUGCAUAUUAUCAUAUAGAAAUAAGCGAAGCAUAGCGAUUCGUACUACCGGAAAAGU